GCGGGAGGAGAGGAAGCCUGCUUCGAAGCACUCAUCCCCAUCCCUAAAAGAAGAGCUCAGCUCAGCCCCUUAGCCAGCAUGUCUGCAAAGGAGAGGCAAAAAGGCAAAGUGACCAAGGACAGCGUCACUCUAUUGCCCUGCUUUUAUUUUGUGGAGAAUACAGGCUGCUUUUAUGGGAAUUAUUUCCGAGAGAGUCAUUUUGCAAAUGGACUGGCAGCUAAAUGAAACCAUGUCACAGACAUAGGAUCAUCUCAACAGGAAGACAUGUUUCAGAGAGGAGGUUAUAUGCAAACACAUAUUGCAUGUAUUAUGUCCAUGAAAGAAAAGUCAUGUUGUAGAAGGAAUGUUAAAAAAAUGAAUAUGGUUUAAAGUUGUUAAAUAAUCAGUAUUGUGUUUUUAUCAGGUCCCAGUAACGUGCCUGGACUGUAAGAGAGAGAUAGGUAACAACACAUGCUUUGUAUCUUGAAAAAGUGAAAGAGUUUCUCAGUAGAUUUUGUAUGGAAAGAUUGAAACAUGUCAUGGCUGCUCUGUUGAUGCCAGGUGAAGUUACACUUCCACAGGCACUCACUGCUCCAGAACUGGUGUAUUGCUUAGAGGAUUUUAGCCUCUUUUGACAGCACUCCAUUCACUAGUAAGUAAGUACAAGAGCAAACAUGGUUUCAGCUUCAGGAAAUGAGUUUGUCAUUUCUGUGUUUGUUAACCGAAUAGUAAGUGAGCACAGCUUGCUUCUGAUGACUCCACUUACAGUAGGGCAGUUACUGAGUCACUCGGCCUAUGUGCCUUAGUUUCCCCAUCUGUAACACAAGGAUGGUGGCACUGGCCUCAUGGAGGUGUGCUGAAGAUAAUGCACGAAAAGAACUUUGAAGGUUAAAAACAGGAGGUCUAUGUAAGAGCUCAACAUAAUUUUUAGCCUGAACGGCAAUAUUAAAAAUCUUGCUUAAAUAUCCUGGGAGAUAGGAGGAUACAGUGUGAGAGGGGCUUGUAAGUGGUGGCAGGCUGUCUCUCUUCCACCUAAAUUCCCUACUAGUUGCCUGGGACAAGGGAGAUGAAGCAUAUUAAAAAUAAUAUUGGGUGGGAUACUUUUCAGAGAAUGUUAGAUACUAAAGUAACAGACCUGUCUUAUUAUUGUGGAUUAGGCCCACUUGGUGAAAUGUACCCAUUGAUGGAAGGCUCCUUCUGGGCCACAUAAUUCCUGUGGUAUUCUUGUCAGAGAAAAGAGGUCAUG
RNAcentral lists this long non-coding RNA (1225 nucleotides) under Chrysemys picta bellii (western painted turtle). RNAcentral's name for it is "lncRNA (ENSCPBG00000023706.1)". The record is from RNAcentral. Lineage: Eukaryota; Metazoa; Chordata; Testudines; Emydidae.